UACGAAGGGGGCUAGCGUUGCUCGGAAUCACUGGGCGUAAAGGGUGCGUAGGCGGGUCUUUAAGUCAGGGGUGAAAUCCUGGAGCUCAACUCCAGAACUGCCUUUGAUACUGAGGAUCUUGAGUACGGGAGAGGUGAGUGGAACUGCAAGUGUAGAGGUGAAAUUCGUAGAUAUUCGCAAGAACACCAGUGGCGAAGGCGGCUCACUGGCCCGUAACUGACGCUGAGGCACGAAAGCGUGGGGAGCAAACAGG
This 253-nucleotide ribosomal RNA is filed under the name uncultured bacterium. Its description in RNAcentral is "partial 16S ribosomal RNA". It matches the Rfam family "Bacterial small subunit ribosomal RNA", at positions 524 to 776 of the family's 1533-position model. The record is from RNAcentral.